This 405-nucleotide ribosomal RNA is filed under the name uncultured bacterium. RNAcentral's name for it is "partial 16S ribosomal RNA". It matches the Rfam family "Bacterial small subunit ribosomal RNA", at positions 30 to 526 of the family's 1533-position model. The record is from RNAcentral.
AUUGAACGCUGGCGGCAGGCUUAACACAUGCAAGUCGAACGAGUGGCGGGCGGGUGAGUAAUGCUUGGGAAUCUCGCUUAUGGCGGGGGAUAACUACGGGAAACUGUAGCUAAUACCGCGUACCAUAGGAUGAGCCCAAGUGGGAUUAGGUAGUGGGUGAGGUAAAGGCUGCCCAAGCCCACGAUCCCUAGCUGGUCUGAGAGGAGGACCAGCCACACUGGGACUGAGACACGGCCCAGACGCCUACGGGAGGCAGCAGUGGGGAAUAUUGCGCAAUGGGGGAAAGCUGACGCAGCCAUGCCGCGUGAAUGAAGAAGGCCUUCGGGUUGUAAAGUUCUUUCGGUAGCGAGGCGUUAACUACAGAAGAAGCACCGGCUAACUCCGUGCCAGCAGCCGCGGUAAUAC